Molecule: transfer RNA, 73 nt
Filed under: Tursiops truncatus (common bottlenose dolphin)
Lineage: Eukaryota; Metazoa; Chordata; Mammalia; Artiodactyla; Delphinidae
Description: tRNA-Ala (CGC) (tRNA-Ala-CGC-6-1)
Rfam family: tRNA
About the family: Transfer RNA (tRNA) molecules are approximately 80 nucleotides in length.
Source: RNAcentral
UCCCUGGUGGUCCAGUGGCUGAGACUCCGCACUCGCAAUGCAGGGGACCCAGGUUUGAUCCCUGGUCAGGGAA